CUUCAACCCCUCCACUGCACCACCAAGGAAGAACACACAGACACAGCAACAAUGGGUUAGGGAAAGAGUACUCUAGCUUCAGGCACAGACAGCCAUGACGACAGCCAUGACGACAGCCAUGACGACAGCCAUGACGACAGCCAUGACGACAGCCAUGACGACAGCCAUGACAUAUCAGGCGUAAACAUAUCAGACCAAAGCAUAUAAGAUGAUUAGGAUCCUGGAGUGGGGAAUUCUGUGAGGGGUGCUAACUUCAUGAUCUGGUAACUCUUCCGAAGGGUCGCCAGUAGGAGGGAGUAUGGACUAAUUUAGAAAAUGGUUAUAGCAG
RNAcentral lists this long non-coding RNA (328 nucleotides) under Salmo salar (Atlantic salmon). RNAcentral describes it as "lncRNA (ENSSSAG00000093915.1)". The record is from RNAcentral. Lineage: Eukaryota; Metazoa; Chordata; Actinopteri; Salmoniformes; Salmonidae.